UACGUAGGGGGCAAGCGUUGUCCGGAUUUAUUGGGCGUAAAGAGCUCGUAGGCGGUUCCGUAAGUCAGGUGUGAAAAAUCUGGGCUCAACCCAGUGGAGCACCUGAUACUGCGGUGACUCGAGUCCGGUAGGGGAGUGUGGAAUUCCUGGUGUAGCGGUGAAAUGCGCAGAUAUCAGGAGGAACACCGACGGCGAAGGCAGCACUCUGGGCCGUUCCUGACGCUGAGACGCGAAAGCUAGGGGAGCGAACAGG
Molecule: ribosomal RNA, 253 nt
Filed under: uncultured bacterium
Lineage: Bacteria
Description: partial 16S ribosomal RNA
Rfam family: Bacterial small subunit ribosomal RNA
Source: RNAcentral